GACGAACGCUGGCGGCGUGCCUAACACAUGCCAGUCGAACGGAAAGGCCCUGCUUUUGUGGGGUUCCCGAUUGCCGAUCGCGGGAGUAUCACGUGAGUAACCUGCCCUUGACUUUCGGAUAACUUCAGGUAACUGGGGCUACUACCGGAUAGCAUCUCCUGCUCCAUGGUGGGGGUUGGAACGUUUCGGCUGUUGGGGAUGGACUCGCGGCUUAUCAGCUUGUUGGUUGGGUAGUGGCUUACCCAGGCUUUGACGGGUAGCCGGCCUGUGAGGGUGACCGGCGACAUGGGGACUGAGAGAGGGCGCAGACGCGUACGGGAGGCAGCAGGGGGGAAUAUGGCACAGUGGGCGGAAGCCUGAUGAAGCAACGCCGCGUGCGGGAUGACGGCCUUCGGGUUGUAAACCGCUGUCGCCUGUGACGAAGCGUGAGUGACGGUAAUGGGUAAAGAAGCACCGGCUAACUACGUG
This 468-nucleotide ribosomal RNA is filed under the name uncultured bacterium. RNAcentral describes it as "partial 16S ribosomal RNA". It matches the Rfam family "Bacterial small subunit ribosomal RNA", at positions 28 to 507 of the family's 1533-position model. The record is from RNAcentral.